This 255-nucleotide long non-coding RNA is filed under the name Cricetulus griseus (Chinese hamster). RNAcentral's name for it is "lncRNA (ENSCGRG00015037525.1)". The record is from RNAcentral. Lineage: Eukaryota; Metazoa; Chordata; Mammalia; Rodentia; Cricetidae.
AGAACAUCCAAGGACCAAGAUGAAUGGCAAAGCUGCAUUCCAAGAGUUCCAGUCAACAAAGAAUUUGUGGCAGUGUUUGCCCACUUCCCACCCACAGAAUAACCUUUGUCCAGUCCAAACCACAGAUCUCUGCUCAGCCCUGAGACUCUGGGCACAUCCCAGGCCAUGUUCACAAUCAAAGCAGGAAGCAAAACCUAUCUUAUUCAUGGACACAGAAGGAGAAUGGGAAAGUUGGAUGAAGAGGUGGACAUGUAC